UAAUGACGGUACCUGAAGAAUAAGCACCGGCUAACUACGUGCCAGCAGCCGCGGUAAUACGUAGGGUGCAAGCGUUAAUCGGAAUUACUGGGCGUAAAGCGUGCGCAGGCGGUUAUGUAAGACAGGUGUGAAAUCCCCGGGCUUAACCUGGGAAUGGCAUUUGUGACUGCAUAGCUAGAGUGUGUCAGAGGGGGGUAGAAUUCCACGUGUAGCAGUGAAAUGCGUAGAGAUGUGGAGGAAUACCGAUGGCGAAGGCAGCCCCCUGGGAUAACACUGACGCUCAUGCACGAAAGCGUGGGGAGCAAACAGGAUUAGAUACCCUGGUAGUCCACGCCCUAAACGAUGUCUACUAGUUGUCGGGUCUUAAUUGACUUGGUAACGCAGCUAACGCGUGAAGUAGACCGCCUGGGGAGUACGGUCGCAAGAUUAAAACUCAAAGGAAUUGACGGGGACCCGCACAAGCGGUGGAUGAUGUGGAUUAAUUCGAUGCAACGCGAAAAACCUUACCUACCCUUGACAUGUACGGAAUGCUGAAGAGAUUUGGCAGUGCUCGAAAGAGAACCGUAACACAGGUGCUGCA
RNAcentral lists this ribosomal RNA (580 nucleotides) under Collimonas sp. Its description in RNAcentral is "bacterial SSU rRNA". It matches the Rfam family "Bacterial small subunit ribosomal RNA", at positions 467 to 1045 of the family's 1533-position model. Lineage: Bacteria; Pseudomonadati; Pseudomonadota; Betaproteobacteria; Burkholderiales; Oxalobacteraceae. The record is from RNAcentral.